This 459-nucleotide ribosomal RNA is filed under the name Streptococcus sp. oral taxon C08. Its description in RNAcentral is "bacterial SSU rRNA". It matches the Rfam family "Bacterial small subunit ribosomal RNA", at positions 28 to 471 of the family's 1533-position model. The record is from RNAcentral. Lineage: Bacteria; Bacillati; Bacillota; Bacilli; Lactobacillales; Streptococcaceae.
GAUGAACGCUGGCGGCGUGCCUAAUACAUGCAAGUAGAACGCUGAAGCUUGGUGCUUGCACCGAGCGGAUGAGUUGCGAACGGGUGAGUAACGCGUAGGUAACCUGCCUGGUAGCGGGAGAUAACUAUUGGAAACGAUAGCUAAUACCGCAUAACAGUAGAUGUUGCAUGACAUUUGCUUAAAAGGUGCAAUUGCAUCACUACCAGAUGGACCUGCGUUGUAUUAGCUAGUUGGUGAGGUAACGGCUCACCAAGGCGACGAUACAUAGCCGACCUGAGAGGGUGAUCGGCCACACUGGGACUGAGACACGGCCCAGACUCCUACGGGAGGCAGCAGUAGGGAAUCUUCGGCAAUGGACGGAAGUCUGACCGAGCAACGCCGCGUGAGUGAAGAAGGUUUUCGGAUCGUAAAGCUCUGUUGUAAGAGAAGAACGAGUGUGAGAGUGGAAAGUUCACACUG